Long non-coding RNA from Triticum aestivum (bread wheat), 624 nucleotides. RefSeq lists it as uncharacterized. NCBI's taxonomy places the organism in Eukaryota, Viridiplantae, Streptophyta, Magnoliopsida, Poales, Poaceae. The record is from RefSeq and is a predicted model, not a curated record. The transcript has 2 exons.
GCCAAGUCACUCUGGCCAAGUCAUUCUGGUUCGGUUCAGACGGAGCGAGCGGUCUUCUUCCUCCAGAACCCUCUCUGCCGUGCGGCGCGGCUCCUCUUCCCUUCAGAAGGCAAGAGCGAUUUUGGAUCCGGGGCCUCGAGCUCGCGCUGCGCUCCUGCCCUCUCCCGCCGACUCCCGGAGCUCCGUUCAUCGAGGGGAUGGGGAACAGUGCAUCUGCAACAACCGUUACCCCAACUGCAGAAGAAAAAACCGGGCAAGCUCCAGCGCCUGACACGAAGCCGAAGAAGAAGAUAUGCUGCGCCUGCCCCGACACAAAGAGGCUGAGGGACGAGUGCAUCGUGGAGCAUGGCGAGGACGCGUGCGGGAAGUGGAUCGAAGCCCAUCGCCUAUGCUUGAGAGCCGAAGGGUUCAACGUCUGAUACGUUCAUAGCGGCUCUAGACUUGCUCCUGUGGUUCUGGACGACGAACAAUGUCAGUUAACAGUUUCAUCUCUGGGCAUUCCAGUUUGCGGGAAGGGAUGUUUUCCCCCUAAUAGGCAUUCAUGCCACAGAUAAUGUAUGAAAUUUUGUUAUAGUGGUACUGUGUUUGGCUUCUCCAAAUGGUGUUAUUUUUUGGAGACAUUCU